This is an RNA transcript of Elephantulus edwardii (Cape elephant shrew), 515 nucleotides long. It is a transcript of the gene named GDP dissociation inhibitor 1 pseudogene, with no coding region annotated. The record is from RefSeq and is a predicted model, not a curated record. The transcript has a single exon. Lineage: Eukaryota; Metazoa; Chordata; Mammalia; Macroscelidea; Macroscelididae.
AUGGAUGAGGAAUAUGAUGUGACCGUGCUGGGGACUGGCCUCACCGAAUGCAUCCUGUCUGGCAUCAUGUCUGUGAAUGGGAAGAAGGUGCUGCACAUGGACCAAAACCCCUACUAUGUUGGGGAGAGCUCUUCCAUCACACCCUUGGAGGAGUUGUACAAGCGUUUUCAGUUCGUGGAGGGGCCUCCUGAAUCCAUGGGCCGGGGCCGAGACUGGAAUGUUGACCUUAUCCCCAAGUUCCUGAUGGCCAAUGGGCAGCUGGUGAAGAUGCUUCUGUACACGGAAGUGAUCGCUAUUUGGACUUUAAAGUGGUUGAAGGCAGCUUUGUCUAUAAGGGAGGCAAGAUCUACAAAGUGCCAUCCACUGAGACUGAGGCUUUGGCAUCCAAUCUGAUGGGCAUGUUUGAGAAACGGCGUUUCCGCAAGUUCCUCGUGUUUGUGGCGAACUUUGACGAGAAUGACCCUAAGACCUUCGAAGGGGUUGACCCCCAGAUUACCAGCAUGCGUGAUGUCUAC